Molecule: ribosomal RNA, 954 nt
Filed under: uncultured bacterium
Lineage: Bacteria
Description: bacterial SSU rRNA
Rfam family: Bacterial small subunit ribosomal RNA
Source: RNAcentral
CGGCUAACUACGUGCCAGCAGCCGCGGUAAUACGUAGGUGGCAAGCGUUNUCCGGAAUUAUUGGGCGUAAAGCGCGCGCAGGCGGAUCAGUCAGUCUGUNUUAAAAGUUCGGGGCUUAACCCCGUGAUGGGAUGGAAACUGCUGAUCUAGAGUAUCGGAGAGGAAAGUGGAAUUCCUAGUGUAGCGGUGAAAUGCGUAGAUAUUAGGAAGAACACCAGUGGCGAAGGCGACUUUCUGGACGAAAACUGACGCUGAGGCGCGAAAGCCAGGGGAGCGAACGGGAUUAGAUACCCCGGUAGUCUUGGCCGUAAACGAUGGGUACUAGGUGUAGGAGGUAUCGACCCCUUCUGUGCCGGAGUUAACGCAAUAAGUACCCCGCCUGGGGAGUACGACCGCAAGGUUGAAACUCAAAGGAAUUGACGGGGGCCCGCACAAGCGGUGGAGUAUGUGGUUUAAUUCGACGCAACGCGAAGAACCUUACCAGGUCUUGACAUUGAUGGACAGAACCAGAGAUGGUUCCUCUUCUUCGGAAGCCAGAAAACAGGUGGUGCACGGUUGUCNUCAGCUCGUGUCGUGAGAUGUUGGGUUAAGUCCCGCAACGAGCGCAACCCCUAUCUUAUGUUGCCAGCACUUCGGGUGGGAACUCAUGAGAGACUGCCGCAGACAAUGCGGAGGAAGGCGGGGAUGACGUCAAAUCAUCAUGCCCCUUAUGACCUGGGCUACACACGUACUACAAUGGGAGUUAAUAGACGGAAGCGAGAUCGCGAGAUGGAGCAAACCCGAGAAACACUCUCUCAGUUCGGAUCGUAGGCUGCAACUCGCCUACGUGAAGUCGGAAUCGCUAGUAAUCGCAGGUCAGCAUACUGCGGUGAAUACGUUCCCGGGCCUUGUACACACCGCCCGUCACACCACGAAAGUCGGAAGUGCCCAAAGCCGGUGGGGUAACCUUCGGGA